Molecule: ribosomal RNA, 2919 nt
Filed under: Staphylococcus argenteus
Lineage: Bacteria; Bacillati; Bacillota; Bacilli; Caryophanales; Staphylococcaceae
Description: 23S ribosomal RNA
Rfam family: Bacterial large subunit ribosomal RNA
Source: RNAcentral
UUAAGUUAUUAAGGGCGCACGGUGGAUGCCUUGGCACUAGAAGCCGAUGAAGGACGUUACUAACGACGAUAUGCUUUGGGGAGCUGUAAGUAAGCUUUGAUCCAGAGAUUUCCGAAUGGGGAAACCCAACAUGAGUUAUGUCAUGUUAUCGAUAUGUGAAUACAUAGCAUAUCAGAAGGCACACCCGGAGAACUGAAACAUCUUAGUACCCGGAGGAAGAGAAAGAAAAUUCGAUUCCCUUAGUAGCGGCGAGCGAAACGGGAAGAGCCCAAACCAACAAGCUUGCUUGUUGGGGUUGUAGGACACUCUAUACGGAGUUACAAAGGACGACAUUAGACGAAUCAUCUGGAAAGAUGAAUCAAAGAAGGUAAUAAUCCUGUAGUCGAAAAUGUUGUCUCUCUUGAGUGGAUCCUGAGUACGACGGAGCACGUGAAAUUCCGUCGGAAUCUGGGAGGACCAUCUCCUAAGGCUAAAUACUCUCUAGUGACCGAUAGUGAACCAGUACCGUGAGGGAAAGGUGAAAAGCACCCCGGAAGGGGAGUGAAAUAGAACCUGAAACCGUGUGCUUACAAGUAGUCAGAGCCCGUUAAUGGGUGAUGGCGUGCCUUUUGUAGAAUGAACCGGCGAGUUACGAUUUGAUGCAAGGUUAAGCAGUAAAUGUGGAGCCGUAGCGAAAGCGAGUCUGAAUAGGGCGUUUAGUAUUUGGUCGUAGACCCGAAACCAGGUGAUCUACCCUUGGUCAGGUUGAAGUUCAGGUAACACUGAAUGGAGGACCGAACCGACUUACGUUGAAAAGUGAGCGGAUGAACUGAGGGUAGCGGAGAAAUUCCAAUCGAACCUGGAGAUAGCUGGUUCUCUCCGAAAUAGCUUUAGGGCUAGCCUCAAGUGAUGAUUAUUGGAGGUAGAGCACUGUUUGGACGAGGGGCCCCUCUCGGGUUACCGAAUUCAGACAAACUCCGAAUGCCAAUUAAUUUAACUUGGGAGUCAGAACAUGGGUGAUAAGGUCCGUGUUCGAAAGGGAAACAGCCCAGACCACCAGCUAAGGUCCCAAAAUAUAUGUUAAGUGGAAAAGGAUGUGGCGUUGCCCAGACAACUAGGAUGUUGGCUUAGAAGCAGCCAUCAUUUAAAGAGUGCGUAAUAGCUCACUAGUCGAGUGACACUGCGCCGAAAAUGUACCGGGGCUAAACAUAUUACCGAAGCUGUGGAUUGUCCUUUGGACAAUGGUAGGAGAGCGUUCUAAGGGCGUUGAAGCAUGAUCGCAAGGACAUGUGGAGCGCUUAGAAGUGAGAAUGCCGGUGUGAGUAGCGAAAGACGGGUGAGAAUCCCGUCCACCGAUUGACUAAGGUUUCCAGAGGAAGGCUCGUCCGCUCUGGGUUAGUCGGGUCCUAAGCUGAGGCCGACAGGCGUAGGCGAUGGAUAACAGGUUGAUAUUCCUGUACCACCUAUAAUCGUUUUAAUCGAUGGGGGGACGCAGUAGGAUAGGCGAAGCGUGCGAUUGGAUUGCACGUCUAAGCAGUAAGGCUGAGUAUUAGGCAAAUCCGGUACUCAUUAAGGCUGAGCUGUGAUGGGGAGAAGACAUUGUGUCUUCGAGUCGUUGAUUUCACACUGCCGAGAAAAGCCUCUAGAUAGAAAAUAGGUGCCCGUACCGCAAACCGACACAGGUAGUCAAGAUGAGAAUUCUAAGGUGAGCGAGCGAACUCUCGUUAAGGAACUCGGCAAAAUGACCCCGUAACUUCGGGAGAAGGGGUGCUCUUUAGGGUUAACGCCCAGAAGAGCCGCAGUGAAUAGGCCCAAGCGACUGUUUAUCAAAAACACAGGUCUCUGCUAAACCGUAAGGUGAUGUAUAGGGGCUGACGCCUGCCCGGUGCUGGAAGGUUAAGAGGAGUGGUUAGCUUCUGCGAAGCUACGAAUCGAAGCCCCAGUAAACGGCGGCCGUAACUAUAACGGUCCUAAGGUAGCGAAAUUCCUUGUCGGGUAAGUUCCGACCCGCACGAAAGGCGUAACGAUUUGGGCACUGUCUCAACGAGAGACUCGGUGAAAUCAUAGUACCUGUGAAGAUGCAGGUUACCCGCGACAGGACGGAAAGACCCCGUGGAGCUUUACUGUAGCCUGAUAUUGAAAUUCGGCACAGCUUGUACAGGAUAGGUAGGAGCCUUUGAAACGUGAGCGCUAGCUUACGUGGAGGCGCUGGUGGGAUACUACCCUAGCUGUGUUGGCUUUCUAACCCGCACCACUUAUCGUGGUGGGAGACAGUGUCAGGCGGGCAGUUUGACUGGGGCGGUCGCCUCCUAAAAGGUAACGGAGGCGCUCAAAGGUUCCCUCAGAAUGGUUGGAAAUCAUUCAUAGAGUGUAAAGGCAUAAGGGAGCUUGACUGCGAGACCUACAAGUCGAGCAGGGUCGAAAGACGGACUUAGUGAUCCGGUGGUUCCGCAUGGAAGGGCCAUCGCUCAACGGAUAAAAGCUACCCCGGGGAUAACAGGCUUAUCUCCCCCAAGAGUUCACAUCGACGGGGAGGUUUGGCACCUCGAUGUCGGCUCAUCGCAUCCUGGGGCUGUAGUCGGUCCCAAGGGUUGGGCUGUUCGCCCAUUAAAGCGGUACGCGAGCUGGGUUCAGAACGUCGUGAGACAGUUCGGUCCCUAUCCGUCGUGGGCGUAGGAAAUUUGAGAGGAGCUGUCCUUAGUACGAGAGGACCGGGAUGGACAUACCUCUGGUGUACCAGUUGUCGUGCCAACGGCAUAGCUGGGUAGCUAUGUGUGGACGGGAUAAGUGCUGAAAGCAUCUAAGCAUGAAGCCCCCCUCAAGAUGAGAUUUCUCAACUUCGGUUAUAAGAUCCCUCAAAGAUGAUGAGGUUAAUAGGUUCGAGGUGGAAGCAUGGUGACAUGUGGAGCUGACGAAUACUAAUCGAUCGAAGACUUAAUC